Long non-coding RNA from Oncorhynchus gorbuscha (pink salmon), 563 nucleotides. RefSeq lists it as uncharacterized. The record is from RefSeq and is a predicted model, not a curated record. The transcript is spliced from 3 exons. Lineage: Eukaryota; Metazoa; Chordata; Actinopteri; Salmoniformes; Salmonidae.
AAAACUAGCUAACCGGCUAUGGGUAACUGUAGCUAGCUACCUGACAGGAGUGCUAGCUAGAUACGUUAGCUCAGUAGGUACAGUAAUAGCUUUAGGGUGGUUGUUUUUUAAGCUCCACUUCAAGAUUUCCACCAAGAACGUUGCCUCUCCGACCAUCACUCUCCCUUGCUUGGGAAAGGGACAUUUUUAAGACGGCCAAGCUGCAGCUGGCAAAGCAGAAGGCCCAGGAUCACCCAGUGGAUGAGGGCUGUCAGGAGAAGAUCCAGGAGAUCAAGCAGGACAUCAUCAAAAAUAAAGAGGCCCCGAGUGAGAUCCUGCAGAACUUUAAAUACGACUAGGAGGAGUCGUAGUGAUGGGGACUCCCUGGAGGCUGCUGCCCAGACAGGGAUUGAUGGACUGCUCUGCUACAACUUUCCUCUUUGUAUUAAUUUGCCUAAGUUAUUGAUCCCUCCCUCACACCACCUGACUGCUGCAGUUUCUUGCAUCCCAGAGUCAUUCCAUACCGUGUGUCUCUGCAUGUGUAUGCCUGUGUGUCCUUAGCAAAAAAAGGCUUUUUUUCUCCU